Balaenoptera ricei (Rice's whale) is the source of this 652-nucleotide non-coding RNA. Lineage: Eukaryota; Metazoa; Chordata; Mammalia; Artiodactyla; Balaenopteridae. The record is from the annotation of a RefSeq genome assembly.
AUGUCACCCCCAGACCAUGGGACCAGCAGGUGGAGGAGGACCCCCCGGGCCGAGCAAGGGGAUAAGAGAGGCCUGGGGGCAACCCAGCCCAGCCUGGGCCUUGGGGAGCAGACUCGGGGGGCCUCCACCGUGGCCUGGACCCCCCUCCUCCUCGGCCUCCGGGCUCACUGCACAGGCGCUGUGUCCUCCUAUGAACUGACUCAGUCGCCCUCAGUGUCAGUGUCCCUGGGACAGACGGCCAGGAUCACGUGUUGGGGGGAACAACAUUGGAAGUAAAUAUGUUCAACGGUGCCAGCAGAAGCUGGGCCAGGCCCCUGUGCUGGUCAUCCAUGAUGAUAGCAACCGGCCCUCGGGGAUCCCUGACCAGAUAUCUGGCUCCAAAUUGGGGUACACGGCCACCCUGACCAUCAGCGGAGUCCGGGCUAAGGACGAGGCUGACUAUUACUAUCAGUCAUAUGACCGCAGUUAUAAUCCUCAUGGUGACACAGGCAGAUGGGGAAGAGAGGCCACGCUCUCUGAGCCGGCGGAGCUCUGUGGGGAUCCGUCUCCUCCUGGUGGAACCCGCUGCAGGAGUCCUGGGGCUGGGUCCCCUGCUCUCCUGGACGAGGCACCCCACGUCCUGCAGGGCUGCCUGCGACCUGGAGAGGCCUGA